Molecule: non-coding RNA, 186 nt
Organism: Podarcis lilfordi (Lilford's wall lizard)
Lineage: Eukaryota; Metazoa; Chordata; Lepidosauria; Squamata; Lacertidae
Source: the annotation of a GenBank genome assembly
UUCCUGAUGUUUAGUUGGAAUCUCCUUUCUUGUAGCUUGAAUUGGUUCAGGUCCUAGCCUCCAGAGCAGGAGAAAAUAUACUUGUUCCAUCUUCCAUGCAAUAGCCCUUUAGAUAUUUGAAGACGGCUAUCACAUCUCCCCUCAGUCUCCUCUUCUUCAGGCUAAACACACCCAACUCUCUCGACC